GUUUUCCUCUUUUACCAGAAAUGGUCGAGAUCCUGAAAUCAGGAUUCUUACAGAAUUUGAUGAGACCACUGAAGGUGCAUUCAGGACAAUUUAUCUCCAUCAUUAUUCACCCAUCCUACCAUGAAGGUGCAUUUGUCAACUCCAUCAGGGCUUAGUUAUUUGCAGAAAACAAAAACAGAAUGAGAAGCAGCUCCGUUAUAUUGUGAGAAUCUCCACAGUGAUCUUCUAGCUGUACUUGGAUCACUGCCUCCUUAUUUAGAGUGUGUGGAGCUAGAAAUAGUAUCUGGGACAACUGGUUGUAGUUCAUCAAACCGCAGCUGUUUGGGCGCAGACUUCUGAUGGACUUCAUCUGUGCAGUUGUUGAUUCCUACCAUAGCAGAGGGUUCUUUUAAAAUUCGCAUAUUCCAGAGCAUUGUCCCUUUCAUGGGACAAAGCCCCCCAGUACAGUGACACAAUAUAAUGAAGCAUGCAAAUGACGUGAGUGAAUGGAGUACCACUAGAAGGACCAACUGGACAGUCCUGGGCACAUAGCUAAUCACAGAACGAUGAGGGAUUGCUGCACAGUCAGGGGAACACGGCAGAGUCUCAAGGAGAUUUAUAAACUGCGUUUGCUGUGAUGCACUCGGCAGACACAAGCCACGGCCUUCUCGCUGGGCCUGGCUGACUUGACCUGGGCCUCGGGCGUCCUGCCGAGAGCGUGCACCUGAACCACUUUCCGAAGUCCUUGCUGCAUACAGUCUUUGGAACACGUGCUGUUUUCAAAUUUUUCUAAAUGUGAGGACGAAGGCUUGCAUGGGACAGAGUACUGACAAAUUACCCACUCAUCAGUCCUCGUGGGUUCACAAUAUAAAAUUAAGAGUUUCGAUUUAAAGUCAAAGUACAAGACUGAAAACCAGCAGAGGGUAGAGGAGUGAAGGCUAUUCCACGGGUUGAUCCCACAUCUACACAGUGAAGAAGCUCCCAACAUGCCCUCCCCAUAGUGGAUCAGAGAUGUCACCUUCCUUCCAGAAAGACAGCACUGUAAGGUUAAGACAGUGAUUUAGAACCACAGAUGAACUGGUGUCACUGUUUUUAACCUCUGAGUGGAAGUGACAUGGCAUCUGGUGUGACACGUUAUUAGACAACUGUUUUUGUAGCUAUAAAAUUAUGUAACUAGAAGGUGCUGUCACCAUCAGCAAAACGUUAAGGGCCGCAGCGCUCUGGAGUGUCCACGCAUUUGCUCUGGGUUAGUUCCUGCUGGUGCCAUUUUGCUAAGUGCUUUGUGCUCGGCUGAGGGAGGGGUGUGCUUUAACCUCACAAGGGGUUCUCUGAGGUUCCUCCUUUCUUUUGCAUUGUCCCCACCUUUUAGGGACUUAUUGUCACUGGUUUCAAAUGUGAAGAAAACUACAAAACCAAGUCUAUCAGUGAAACACAGCUCACUCCACACAGCACGCUGGAGCCAUGAUUAAGACUUGAGAGAGGCGCUUUCCUCCCCAUCAGCACCCCUGCCCCAGGGCAUGUGAGACCCACAGGGAGACGGUGACCUUGAGUCCUAAGAUUUGAGCCCAACUCUUAAGUUUCCC
Molecule: long non-coding RNA, 1562 nt
Filed under: Marmota monax (woodchuck)
Lineage: Eukaryota; Metazoa; Chordata; Mammalia; Rodentia; Sciuridae
Source: RNAcentral